GGGAAAAGACUAGGGCUGACGUGAUUUGAUUUGAGGGAGUAUUUAUUAUGGCUGAUGUGUUUGGGAGGCAACACAAAGUUAGAUCUGAAGAGAGUGUUUAGGGUUUCUGGCAAACAACAAGACACCAGCUUCUGUCCUCCUCACUUGAAAUCAAAUUCUAGACCGCCUUGCCUUCCUUUUCACUGCACUCUUCUUCGAAUGGAAACAGCGCUUUGCUAUUUUCAUUUUUAAAAUAGGCAUUGGAUUCAUUCCCCAAUCCCCAAUCCCCAAUGCCUAUUUUAAAAUGAAAACAACCUUACCCUGUUUUCGUUUGAAACUGUUGUAAAGGAAGAUGACGCUGACAGUUCCUGAAUUUGAUUUCAGCUGAAGAGGAUCUUUUUAUUACCCAACAAUCCAUAAACCAUUGCUUUAUGUGCGGGUAUUACAAUGGUUCUGCUUAUCCCCUGCUAAGGCUAGCCAGAGGAAGUACUGAAACUUUAUCCCAAAAAGAAGCCUUGGUUUUAAGGGAAUUUUCCCCUUUUUAUGCUGUCCUAUCCAAUCAUUAUAUUUGCAAAAAAAUUAUUCUCGAACAUGACACCUAUUUGACACGUUAAGAGGAAAAAAAUAGAAGAAAAGAAAGAUAGUUAUUAUGAUUGGUGGUAAUAAUUUGAUAAAAUAACAUAGAAAAAAUGAUAGGUUUUAAUAGUGUUUAUAAUUAUGAGUUGUCUAAAUAUUAGACUUAAAUACCAUUGUAUCUAGGUGCUUCAUAUGCUAUCCCUGCAGCACGCAAAAGGCUAGAUUUUUUUUUUAUAUUUAUGCUCCCUUGAUUCAUAGUAAACCGCAAAAUCACUCGGACACAACCCGUUAACUGUUCUGAUCUUAGUUUGCUAUAUUCUUUGUAUGGUUACAAAUGUAAGAAGGAAGGCUAUUUUAGCCAAUGACGCCGCUGGAGAACAUCUGGAUUAUGGACUUUUAUGUACAUAUUACAAUGUGCAUGGCGAGGGGAAGUUAUUUGUAAAUUGAUUUGUGGCUUCCGCAUUUAUAAUAUAGUUUAAAAAAUAGUUUUGAUUUGAUUUCAAGCCUUUUAGAAGAUAUUUUAGCCAAAGGGCCUGUUUGCUUAUUGCUUUCAAAAACUUUUUUUUUUUUUUUAAAUAAUGAAAACUUGUUUCAUAUGCAUGUCAUGUGAAAAUUGUUUUUAAAAUAUUUACUUUUCAGAUUUUAACAUAUAAAUAAUAAUAAUAAUAAUAACAUAAUUGAGUUGUUCUUGUUCUGUUUUCUACACCUUUUCGUUUCCAAAACUAAGAAAAAGACGGAGAAAAAAGGAUGGUCAUCCCGUAAUUAUUGGACAAUUAAUCAUAUAACAAAUGAAAAGCAUUUUGGCUUCUGCCGUACCUGAUUGUUGCCACAUUCGUGAGUUCGUUAUGCUCAAGACUGUGUCGUGUGAUGUUGCAAGUGUGCUUGGUUGUUUACAGUGUUUGAUAUGCAGGGUUCAUGAAUUUGGUGGCUGGUUGUUGGUCUAUGGCAUCAGUUAAGUUAGAAGUGUGUAUUACAAAACCCUCUCUCUCUCUUGCUAACUGAUGAUAAAAAAAUGUCUCAUUUGUUUUAUUGUAAUUGAUCACUCAGCUGCAAUGCAAUAUGUGAUAUGGAGGAACAAGCAUCAAGUGUGAAAAUUUCAGACAUUUAUGGAAUUUCAAAGUUGCUCAGAUUGUUUUUGAAUUAGUUAAUAUUUGUAGUUUCUUGGAACAGAGAAAAGUAAAGUUCCAAGGAUGUGGAAGAGAUAUGUAAUGCGCAAUUCCACAUGCUUAUGUUGAGCAAGAUUACUUUUAUUAUUUGUGUUUGUGCUUUAGUGGUUGUUUCCAAACAUGGUGCUUUGCACUUUUUACAAAAUAAAAAAUUAACAAUUUUGUGUUGGUUAUACUAUAGUAUUUUACUCGCUAUUAGUUUCUACCCUCAAUCUAAACACAUUAUUUGACACUUCCUAUUAUUUUGUUAAAGGAAGAAACUAAUCAUCCCAUUGAUAUUUAUGGUGCCAAAUCAUUAUAAAAAAAAAAAAAAAAA
Molecule: long non-coding RNA, 2037 nt
Organism: Cajanus cajan (pigeon pea)
Lineage: Eukaryota; Viridiplantae; Streptophyta; Magnoliopsida; Fabales; Fabaceae
Source: RefSeq, a predicted model, not a curated record